UGUGUGUGUGUGUGUGUGUGUGUGUUCCGUACCAGUGUUCCUGUCUGUUGUUACUCUGCUUCAUAUUGACCCCGGAUUCUGACAUUGUUCACUCUGACCUCUGGCAUCCCUUGACUUCGGCUACUCCUCUUUGUUCUUGCCCUCUGGCAUCCUUUGACCUCGGCUAUCCCUUGACAAUCCUGCUGUUUGAGUCCUUGCCUGCACUGCGACUUGGAACUUCAUUCUGCACAG
Non-coding RNA from Pelobates cultripes (western spadefoot toad), 231 nucleotides. NCBI's taxonomy places the organism in Eukaryota, Metazoa, Chordata, Amphibia, Anura, Pelobatidae. The record is from the annotation of a GenBank genome assembly.